This 253-nucleotide ribosomal RNA is filed under the name uncultured bacterium. RNAcentral describes it as "partial 16S ribosomal RNA". It matches the Rfam family "Bacterial small subunit ribosomal RNA", at positions 524 to 776 of the family's 1533-position model. The record is from RNAcentral.
UACAGAGGGAGCUAGCGUUAUUCGGAAUUACUGGGCGUAAAGCGCACGUAGGCGGCUUUGUAAGUUAGAGGUGAAAGCCUGGAGCUCAACUCCAGAACUGCCUUUAAGACUGCAUCGCUUGAAUCCAGGAGAGGUGAGUGGAAUUCCGAGUGUAGAGGUGAAAUUCGUAGAUAUUCGGAAGAACACCAGUGGCGAAGGCGGCUCACUGGACUGGUAUUGACGCUGAGGUGCGAAAGCGUGGGGAGCAAACGGG